This 335-nucleotide unclassified non-coding RNA is filed under the name soil metagenome. RNAcentral's name for it is "partial contains 5.8S ribosomal RNA, internal transcribed spacer 2, and large subunit ribosomal RNA". The stretch from base 1 to 120 matches the Rfam family "5.8S ribosomal RNA", at positions 35 to 154 of the family's 154-position model. The record is from RNAcentral.
GAUGAAGAACGUAGCGAAAUGCGAUGAGUAAUGUGAAUUGCAGAAUUCCGUGAAUCAUCGAAUCUUUGAACGCACAUUGCGCCCCCUGGUAUUCCGGGGGGCAUGCCUGUCCGAGCGUCAUUGCAACCUUCAAGCGCGGCUUGUGUGUUGGGUCUCGUCCCCCGUGGACGGGCCCGAAAGGCAGUGGCGGCGUCCCGACAUGGUGCCCGAGCGUAUGGGAAUCCUCUUCCGCUCGAAUCGGCCCAUGCGGCGCUGGUCGUAACCAAAUUUUUUACCGGUUGACCUCGGAUCAGGUAGGGAUACCCGCUGAACUUAAGCAUAUCAAUAGCGGAGGA